RNAcentral lists this ribosomal RNA (756 nucleotides) under Salmonella enterica subsp. enterica. Its description in RNAcentral is "bacterial LSU rRNA". It matches the Rfam family "Bacterial large subunit ribosomal RNA", at positions 593 to 1348 of the family's 2925-position model. Lineage: Bacteria; Pseudomonadati; Pseudomonadota; Gammaproteobacteria; Enterobacterales; Enterobacteriaceae. The record is from RNAcentral.
GUGACUGCGUACCUUUUGUAUAAUGGGUCAGCGACUUAUAUUCUGUAGCAAGGUUAACCGAAUAGGGGAGCCGGAGGGAAACCGAGUCUUAAUUGGGCGUUAAGUUGCAGGGUAUAGACCCGAAACCCGGUGAUCUAGCCAUGGGCAGGUUGAAGGUUGGGUAACACUAACUGGAGGACCGAACCGACUAAUGUUGAAAAAUUAGCGGAUGACCUGUGGCUGGGGGUGAAAGGCCAAUCAAACCGGGAGAUAGCUGGUUCUCCCCGAAAGCUAUUUAGGUAGCGCCUCGUGAAUUCAUCUCCGGGGGUAGAGCACUGUUUCGGCUAGGGGGCCAUCCCGGCUUACCAACCCGAUGCAAACUGCGAAUACCGGAGAAUGUUAUCACGGGAGACACACGGCGGGUGCUAACGUCCGUCGUGAAGAGGGAAACAACCCAGACCGCCAGCUAAGGUCCCAAAGUCAUGGUUAAGUGGGAAACGAUGUGGGAAGGCCCAGACAGCCAGGAUGUUGGCUUAGAAGCAGCCAUCAUUUAAAGAAAGCGUAAUAGCUCACUGGUCGAGUCGGCCUGCGCGGAAGAUGUAACGGGGCUAAACCAUGCACCGAAGCUGCGGCAGCGACACUCAGGUGUUGUUGGGUAGGGGAGCGUUCUGUAAGCCUGUGAAGGUGGCCUGUGAGGGUUGCUGGAGGUAUCAGAAGUGCGAAUGCUGACAUAAGUAACGAUAAAGCGGGUGAAAAGCCCGCUCGCCGGAAGACCAA